UACGUAGGUGGCAAGCGUUGUCCGGAUUUACUGGGUGUAAAGGGCGUGUAGCCGGGCUGACAAGUCAGAUGUGAAAUUCCGGGGCUCAACCCCGGACCUGCAUUUGAAACUGUUGGUCUUGAGUAUCGGAGAGUCAGGCGGAAUUCCUAGUGUAGCGGUGAAAUGCGUAGAUAUUAGGAGGAACACCAGUGGCGAAGGCGGCCUACUGGACGACAACUGACGGUGAGGCGCGAAAGCGUGGGGAGCAAACAGG
Molecule: ribosomal RNA, 253 nt
Filed under: uncultured bacterium
Lineage: Bacteria
Description: partial 16S ribosomal RNA
Rfam family: Bacterial small subunit ribosomal RNA
Source: RNAcentral